AGAGCCAAAGACACUGAUAACUGCCGAAAGCUUUCAGCACACAUGAAGCCAAGACAUCUGAGAAUGAAAAGCCCAAGAAUGUGCCAAGCAUGAAGAGUCCACCAAGAAUGAAGGGCUCAAGAAUCAUAAGAAAGCAGAUCUCUCUCAGGGGAGUGGCAAGGACAGGGAAGGACUUGGGAGUUCUCAUCUCCAUCAUGGAGUCUGGGGAGCCAAGAGUGGCAAGAGGCUCCAGCUGUGUCUGAGAUUCAGAGAAUCCCAGGAUUUGCACCUGAGAGGUCAUCGAGGCCAAGUCUGUCAUUUCAUGAUGAGGAACUGAGGCUCCCAAAGUAGUGACUUAGCCAAGGUGACACAGUCAGUCAUCAGCAGCGCAGCGUAGUUAGGAUGGUCAGCUGCUGAAUUAGUGUGGGAGAGGAUAGUUGAGGAAUAACGGAUUUCAAGUUGGGCAGUCAUGGUGUGACUGGAAAAGCUGGGACAGAGAGGAGACACCAGAAAAGAAGAAUCAGGCAGGUUUCUUGACUUGUCUGGGGGAAGUGAGGGAACGAAAGACACAAGUCCCCAAAUGCUCCAGCUUUGUUAGAGCUGGUGUAAGGCUGAAUGGUGAUGCCAUGGAUCAAAAUCAAGAAGUCAGGAGGAAGAUUUGAUUUUUGAGACAAUGUGAUGAUGACUUUUCUAUGUUUAGUUUGAAGUGUUGGCCCCAUCCAUGGAAAGAUGUUUGCUAGGAGCUGGAAAUGUAGGGAGGGAAUCUAUGAGGAAGGGUGAGCCAUGGUCAAGAUUGAGGGGGGCAUCUGUCUAGAGAGGUGAGCAGUGAAGGGUGGGAGGGAAUAGAUGUCCUGGGAAGGGAGUAGAGAGAGAGAAGAGAGGGAAGUAACUGAGUCAUGAAUAUGUGUAGUGAUAGAGAAGAACAAGAGGAAUCAGCUUUGGAGACAGGGAGGCAGUAGUGGAAGCAAUAAGAAAAACGUGAGGACAGUGAAGUCUCAGAGAAGCCCAGGGGAGGAAGGAUUUCAGGGAUGUCGUCAUCAAAGUCAAAGGCUACAGGGAAAGAAGGAUGAGUUUAGAGGCAAAAUUGUUGGAAUUUGUGGAAAGAGGUGGUUGAAGAGAUCACUUUCUCUAAAGCUUUAGCAGUCAUUGUACUUCCUACAUCAAAAAUGAUGCCCUGGCUGACCUUGUACUUUGGGGUUCUGCUUUUUGAUUGGUGUGAACCCUCAGCACU
RNAcentral lists this long non-coding RNA (1210 nucleotides) under Monodelphis domestica (gray short-tailed opossum). Its description in RNAcentral is "lncRNA (ENSMODG00000031599.2)". The record is from RNAcentral. Lineage: Eukaryota; Metazoa; Chordata; Mammalia; Didelphimorphia; Didelphidae.